GAUGAACGCUGGCGGCGUGCCUAAUACAUGCAAGUCGAGCGAACAGAUAAGGAGCUUGCUCCUUUGACGUUAGCGGCGGACGGGUGAGUAACACGUGGGUAACCUACCUAUAAGACUGGAAUAACUCCGGGAAACCGGGGCUAAUGCCGGAUAACAUUUAGAACCGCAUGGUUCUAAAGUGAAAGAUGGUUUUGCUAUCACUUAUAGAUGGACCCGCGCCGUAUUAGCUAGUUGGUAAGGUAACGGCUUACCAAGGCAACGAUACGUAGCCGACCUGAGAGGGUGAUCGGCCACACUGGAACUGAGACACGGUCCAGACUCCUACGGGAGGCAGCAGUAGGGAAUCUUCCGCAAUGGGCGAAAGCCUGACAGAGCAACGCCGCGUGAGUGAUGAAGGUCUUCGGAUCGUAAAACUCUGUUAUUAGGGAAGAACAAAUGUGUAAGUAACUGUGCACGUCUUGACGGUACCUAAUCAGAAAGCCACGGCUAACUACGUG
RNAcentral lists this ribosomal RNA (497 nucleotides) under uncultured bacterium. RNAcentral describes it as "partial 16S ribosomal RNA". It matches the Rfam family "Bacterial small subunit ribosomal RNA", at positions 28 to 507 of the family's 1533-position model. The record is from RNAcentral.